CCGGGCAGCUGUUGCACGGAGAGGGGGGCAGUUGCGGGGUUCCAUAACCAUAGCAACCGCAUCAGCACCGGCGGCGGCGGGCGAGGGCAGCAUCCGCUCGCUCCUCCUCCAGGCAGCCUCGCCGCGGGGACCCAACACCAGCUCGCAGGUGCUGCGGACUCCCCAGUCCGCCCGCCGCCGCCGCCGCCGCAACUGUUGGCGGCCAGAGACGGCGAAAGAGGAGAGAGAGGGACCCAGGAGCGCGGCCCCCGGGGGAGAGAGAGGGGAGCCCUGCAGUGGAGACAGUUCUACAAGAGAAGAAGAACUAAGAAGAUGGUCAUGGUCCCAACCACCAAGAACCUCCUUUGGUUACACAUGGGAGACACCAGGAGGGAGCAGAAUGACCUAAAGAUUUAGAUUCAGAUUCAAGUCUGAUCUUACCUGAGAGAGCUGGCAGAGAUUCACGGACAUCGCUAAUAUCUGCUGAGCUAUCCAGACACUGGGUGCUCAGAAACGUCAAAUGUUUCUGCUCAAACAUGAAUAAUUUCUAGGUGGCUGCACACCCAUCUCAGGAGUGACUCGUGAGGGAGAUUUUAGCAUCACAAAGGAAAGUGGCACUGUGAGCCUGGGAUCUGUGGCCCUCCCUCCACCUCCGGUGUGGAUGGAGUGGUGCUGUGAUGUGCCUGGUACAGGGCAUUUGCAUAAGUAGCCUGCCCUGCGUCACUCAUCAUGCCAGACUCUGAGAAUCAACUGUAGACAACACAAGGUCCUUGCCUUUCAAGAGCUUAAUAUGUAGUUGGGGGAUCAGGCAUGGAAAUCGGCAAGAACAAACCAGGCAAUGCCGGGGGUCUGCGGGAACAAAGAGGAGCCUCCGACAUAUUUCCUAGGUGGUGGCUGUCAAGGAUGCCUUCUUAAAGGAGAGAGAGUCUAAGCUGAGUCUGAAGGAAUCUCCACAUGCAGACCUGAGGGAAGGGCAAUCAGAAAGGGAGAGCAACAUGCAGAGACUUGGAGACAAGAAGUAGCAAGGAAGAGAAAGGAACCGCAGGGCUGGAACAAGAGGCCAAGGGGUGAGGUGGUGUCCGUUGAGGCUUGGGAGAUGGUAGGGUUACACGUUUGAGAGUUUUGCAAGCCAGUCUUUUCCUCUAACAGAAGGCCAUAGGAAGUCACAGAAAGGUCUAGACCUGGGCAGGAUGCUCUCCCCAGCUGUGAUAGAGGCCAGGUUAGCGAGAUCCAACAAAGAUUUUAUGGCCUCUUAGGAGGCUCUGCAGAGAUGCUUGACUUCAGGUAAUGAGAGGUGGGAAAAAGAGAAGGACAGAGAAGAAAUAGUGUGAGAAGGAAUAGUAGAGAGGAACAGAAGGAAGGUAUCAGAGAAAUGAACAGAUUGCUUCCUAUCUCACAAAAAUAUCAGUGAGACAUUCUAGGGACCUUUGACCAUUGAUAGGUCAAGAGGAAGGAGGGGUCAUGGUUGAUACUCAGGCUUUCUUUCCAUCCUCCCACCGUGAGAGAAGAAGGCAAGGACUAAUAAACCAGGCUCUGAAUUGAUGUCCCUGCCUCUAUUCUGCUUCCCAGUGUCUACUGUGCACAAGGCAGCCAGAGAGAUCUUUAUAAAACUAAAAUCAG
RNAcentral lists this long non-coding RNA (1599 nucleotides) under Homo sapiens (human). RNAcentral's name for it is "HSALNT0144742". The record is from RNAcentral. Lineage: Eukaryota; Metazoa; Chordata; Mammalia; Primates; Hominidae.